UGACUGCAAGACGACGUGAAUGGGUCAAGGUCCACUCUUUGGGUGUUCCAGGACCCAGGAAAGUCCCCGGGCCAUUUCUGCAGAGAUGCAGGUUCGGUAACGAAUUAGCUUCACGGGCUUAAGGAGUUUAAAGCCCGUAUGGGCUUGGGCUGAGACGAGGUGUGGAGCCUAUGACACCUGCUCGGGAGCGAUAUUGGCCAGUUUGACAGUUAUUCACGUGGCCCAGUUGGGCUAACUGAACGGGGCUUAUGCUCUUGCAGUC
RNAcentral lists this RNase MRP RNA (262 nucleotides) under Solanum tuberosum (potato). RNAcentral's name for it is "SRP RNA RNase_MRP". It matches the Rfam family "RNase MRP". From Rfam's summary of the family: RNase MRP is an enzymatically active ribonucleoprotein with two distinct roles in eukaryotes. The record is from Rfam by way of RNAcentral. Lineage: Eukaryota; Viridiplantae; Streptophyta; Magnoliopsida; Solanales; Solanaceae.